GUUACACGUUUUUCCAGCUCAGCAACAUUAAUACCACGUAGACUCGGUCAAUGGUCAAAGGGGCUUGAAAUAGUGUUUUACUGAGUUUAAAGGUUCAGUUGACAAGUGAUUAAGUAGAAGGGUCCAGAAUACAAACUCAUACAAGUACAAGAGUCCAGCAAACCACUUUAUCUUUCUUUGCGGUAAGAAAACUGCUAAAAUUAGC
RNAcentral lists this long non-coding RNA (205 nucleotides) under Capsicum annuum. RNAcentral describes it as "long non-coding RNA (CANN_LNC020400)". Lineage: Eukaryota; Viridiplantae; Streptophyta; Magnoliopsida; Solanales; Solanaceae. The record is from RNAcentral.